This 2700-nucleotide long non-coding RNA is filed under the name Camponotus floridanus (Florida carpenter ant). Its description in RNAcentral is "uncharacterized LOC112637788, transcript variant X1". Lineage: Eukaryota; Metazoa; Arthropoda; Insecta; Hymenoptera; Formicidae. The record is from RNAcentral.
GAUUAUUGUAUAUAAAUCAUCGAAUAUCUUACUUAUAUUUUGAUCUGUCGAAAAAAUUAUUACAUUGACAUUAUAGAUCAAUAUAUAUAAUUGCAAAUUUAUAAUUUAAUAUUGCUAGUCAAAUGCCUAAUGUCAUAAUGUCUAAGAAUGUAUAUUAUAUAUAUUGAUGUAUAUGAUAAUGUUAAAAAUUAAAAAUAAAUUGCCAUCAGUAUUAAAUAAUUAAAUAAAAAUGGAGGAGAGAGCAAUGCUAUGGAUGCUUUCUCUUGUUAUGUUUGUUGGAUCUUGUCUUGGAGCUGGAUCACUGCCAUUAAGUUAAAUAAAUUUAUCAGAAGAAGUAAGAUAUAGAAGUGAAGAAGAAUAUUUUAUGUAAUAUAAAAUUAUGUAUGUAUAUAAUAGGUGUAUAUCAGAAUUCAUUGUAUCUUGUAAUUUACGUGCAAUAUGUUUUCCAUAGGACAAGUUACAAUUAGUUUCAAUAUUAGGAGCAGGACUCCUUGUUGGUUACUGCGCUAGCGAUUAUACCUGACUGUACCUGAGGGUGUAAGAGCAUUAUUUACUGUGGAUGGUAUUACUAAUGAAAAAGGCAAUUUACAUACUUUAACUUGGAAUUAGUUUAGUACUUGGUUUAUGCUUUUAAUUGAUCAAUGUUCAGCCAGAAAAAGUGGAGGAAGACAAGAAAAGUAUUACAGCAACUUUAGGUCUUAUAGUAGAUGCUGCUAGUUGAUUGGCGGUGUUGCAUUGGGAGCUGCUGCUACUACAUCUCAAGCUGAUGUCGAAGUGUCUUAGUUUUUCUUCGCAAUAAUGUUACACAAGGCGCCAGAUGCAUUUGGACUUGUGUCAAUUUCUUCUUCAUGAAGGUGUAGAUAGAAAGUAAGAAAAUAAGCAGACACUUAUUAAUUUUCUCUCUUGCGGCAACGUGUCUUGCACUUGUGACAUAUUUUGGAAUUGGAAAAGUAAUGUGAGUGAGUAAUAGUAUAUGGAAUGUAUCGCAAGAUGUGUACACAUACAGUUACACCCAUAUGCGCACUAUACUUGUUUCUUUUGCUGUAUACAUAUGCGUAUUGUUUAAUAGAAACAUUUAUUAUCUGAAAGGAAAAAAUGUUCCUGCUGAUGCACAAAAGCGUAACGUCAUAUACUGAUAUAUCUAAACACUUAUGAUACUUGCCCUACAGAAUGACAUAAUUUAGAUAAAGGAAAAUACUUAAAUAAAGUGUUAUGCUUGCAGAUAUCCAAACUGUCGAAACGCAAUCUCUGCAAUAUACAAUUGUUGUAUGCAUAUAUGUAUGCAAAACAUAUAAUGGUGCAAGUUGGGAAAAAAAUGCUUUACGAUUUAGAACAGAUACAUUAGAAGCAAUUGUACUAAGCAUUUAACGAAUAAAAUUCAUUUAUAUAUUAUUUAUUUGCCCAAUAUUUCUGUUAUUAAAUUACGUAAUUUUUCCUUAACAGACACCUAUUGUAAUGAAAUAACAUACAGUGCACAAGAUAGUUAAUCAAUAUAUAUUAUAGAGAAACAAUAGAAAAUCCGGGACAUUCAGGACUGCCGCGCAAGACUGCACGCGCCAAUCAGGCGCGAGAACGGACGCGGACGCGCGAAGACUCCCAAUCAGGAGUGAGGACUGCAGUGCGUGCGCGAAGACGUCCAAUCAGGCGCGAGAACUGCCGCGCACGCCGCCAAGACUCCCAAUCAGGCGCGAGGACUGCCGCGGACGCGCGAAGACUGCCAAUCAGGAGCGAGGACUGCCGCGCACGCCGCCAAGACUCCCAAUCAGGCGCGAGGACUGCCGAACAUGCGCGAAAUUGCAAAUUUAAAGGACAAGUUACAAUUAGUUUCAAUAUUAGGAGCAGGACUCCUUGUUGGUACUGCGCUAGCGAUUAUACCUGACUGUACCUGAGGGUGUAAGAGCAUUAUUUACUGUGGAUGGUAUUACUAAUGAAAAAGGCAAUUUACAUACUUUAACUUGGAAUUAGUUUAGUACUUGGUUUAUGCUUUUAAUUGAUCAAUGUUCAGCCAGAAAAAGUGGAGGAAGACAAGAAAAGUAUUACAGCAACUUUAGGUCUUAUAGUAGAUGCUGCUAGUUGAUUGGCGGUGUUGCAUUGGGAGCUGCUGCUACUACAUCUCAAGCUGAUGUCGAAGUGUCUUAGUUUUUCUUCGCAAUAAUGUUACACAAGGCGCCAGAUGCAUUUGGACUUGUGUCAUUUCUUCUUCAUGAAGGUGUAGAUAGAAAGUAGUAAGAAAAUAAGCAGACACUUAUUAAUUUUCUCUCUUGCGGCACCGUGUCUUGCACUUGUGACAUUAUUUUGGAAUUGGAAAAGUAAUGUGAGUGAGUAAUAGUAUAUGGAAUGUAUCGCAAGAUGUGUACACAUACAGUUACACCCAUAUGCGCACUAUACUUGUUUCUUUUGCUCUAUACAUAUGUGUAUUGUUUAAUAGAAACAUUUAUUAUCUGAAAGGUAAAAUGUUCCUGCUGAUGGACAAAAGCGUAACCAUAUACUGAUAUAUCUAAACACUUAUGAUACUUGCUCUACAGAAUGACAUAAUUUAGAGCAAAUACUUAAAGAAAAUGUUAUGCUUGCAGAUAUCCAAACUGUCGAAACGCAAUCUCUGCAAUAUACAAUUGUUGUAAAUAUAUGUAUGCAAAACAUAUAAUGGUGCAAGUUGGAAAAAAAUGCUUUACGAUUUAGAACAGAUACAUUAGAAGCAAU